AAAGUCGUAACAAGGUCUCCGUUGGUGAACCAGCGGAGGGAUCAUUACAGAGUUGCAAAACUCCCUAAACCAUUGUGAACGUUACCUACAAACCGUUGCUUCGGCGGGCGGCUCCGGGUCCGCCCGGUGCCCCUCGGCCCCCCCAGCGGGGCGCCCGCCGGAGGAAACCCAACUCUUGAUACAUUAUGGCCUCUCUGAGUCUUCUGUACUGAAUAAGUCAAAACUUUCAACAACGGAUCUCUUGGUUCUG
Molecule: unclassified non-coding RNA, 250 nt
Filed under: Ascomycota sp.
Lineage: Eukaryota; Fungi; Ascomycota
Description: partial contains small subunit ribosomal RNA, internal transcribed spacer 1, and 5.8S ribosomal RNA
Rfam family: Eukaryotic small subunit ribosomal RNA (bases 1-47)
Source: RNAcentral